RNAcentral lists this long non-coding RNA (323 nucleotides) under Capsicum annuum. Its description in RNAcentral is "long non-coding RNA (CANN_LNC007562)". The record is from RNAcentral. Lineage: Eukaryota; Viridiplantae; Streptophyta; Magnoliopsida; Solanales; Solanaceae.
CAUCCAGGUGCUGCUUGCGGGUAUCCUUGGACCGGCGGCAUCAUCAUCAUUGGCUCUGAUAUCCACGGUGUUGCCACCAAUGCAGCUAUUGGACCGUCCUUGGGCUUAUCAAUUAUUGUCGGCUUUUCUUGUCCUUUGGGCUUCUCGGGCUCCUUUUUGUCCUUGGACUUUUCAGGCUCCUUAGGUUGCUCAAAAGUGACAGUCUUGGUUUUCUUCUCGGGCUCUUUGGGAUUUUCGGGCCCUUUGAUUUUCUCGGGCUUUUCGGGCCCUUUUGGUUUCCCGAGCGCUUUGAUCUCAAUGCUCUGGAUCGUUUUUCCUCCUUU